UUGGUGGUAUAGUGGUGAGCAUAGC
Molecule: non-coding RNA, 25 nt
Filed under: Gallus gallus (chicken)
Lineage: Eukaryota; Metazoa; Chordata; Aves; Galliformes; Phasianidae
Also listed under: 4 other names
Source: RNAcentral